Molecule: unclassified non-coding RNA, 718 nt
Filed under: Hevea brasiliensis (rubber tree)
Lineage: Eukaryota; Viridiplantae; Streptophyta; Magnoliopsida; Malpighiales; Euphorbiaceae
Source: RNAcentral
GUUUUCUAUUUCUUUCCUUUCACUUUAAUUGUUAAAUUAUCUCAAUUCAUAAUCUACCCGAUCGGUCCUUUUCCUGUCUGGUGGGCUGAUAAUUUAUGUGAAUUUCAAUUAAUGUAUUGUAAAUUUGUAAUCCGAUCGUAUUUAUGCUGAAUUUGACAAAAUCUGUAAGGAUUGUUGGCGUGUUUUUAUGAGCAACUGAAGUAUUUUAUAUUUUAUUUUUUAAGUUGAUCAAGGGUGGGAUAUCAUUCUGAAUUUUAAGGUUUUGUGGUUGAUUUCUUUCCCCCUUAUGUGGUCAGUCUUUGGAUAUUUGCAAUUUUUGCUCAUGGUUUGGGUUUCCAUUUUUGGUUUUUAUUGGACCAAAUUUUGAUAUCUGUUAGCAUUUGUUACAUUUUAAGCUCUAUUUCUUAGGAUCAUUGAGGACAUAAGAGGAAAUUAAAUAAAAAUCAUGAAAUUAUGUUUUGGAUAAUGCGUUAUAGAAAUUGAGCUCCAUUUAUUUUCUAUCAGGUUGAAUCUUGGCUUCAUGGGUUUCUUUUUUAACUUGAUGGUUAUUCAAUUGCUUUCUUUUUUGAUCACUUAUAAUUGAGAGCUUAAAUGUGGGUAUUAAUUCUUUUACUGUUUAACAGUUGUUAUGCAUUGAUUUGUAGUGAGAUUAUCUGUUGAUCAGCUGAGUUAUCAUUUAGGCAAAAUGGCAUCUUCUACAGACCCAUGGAUGAAGGAA